This 28-nucleotide non-coding RNA is filed under the name Mus musculus (house mouse). Lineage: Eukaryota; Metazoa; Chordata; Mammalia; Rodentia; Muridae. The record is from RNAcentral.
UGAUAGUGGAAACUGGCGCUAGUCCCCC